This 4829-nucleotide long non-coding RNA is filed under the name Homo sapiens (human). Its description in RNAcentral is "HSALNT0390378". Lineage: Eukaryota; Metazoa; Chordata; Mammalia; Primates; Hominidae. The record is from RNAcentral.
GGCACCACCUCCGGCGGGUGACAGCAGGCUUCCCACGCCGCCCGCGAGGCGGAGGGGCCGCCCGGGCUGGCCGCGGGUUCCUCGGCAGGGUCGCAGAUGUCCUCCAGGGCUCCCGGGCAGGCAGGCUCCCCAUCCGGCGGCUCUCGGUGCUGCGUCUGCCGCUUGUGCUUCAUGCGCCGGUUCUGAAACCAGACUUUGACCUGCCUUUCGGUGAGGUCCAGCAAGGCCGCGAUCUCGACGCGGCGUGGCCGGCACAGGUACUUAUUAAAGUGGAAUUCCUUCUCCAGUUCCAGCAGCUGCGUGUUGGUGUAAGCCGUGCGCAGCCUGCGCGCCCCGCCGCCACCAGCCUCCGGCAGUCCCAGGCCAUCUGCAGGGAAAACAGGCUCGGCGUCAUAGCGGGCCGUGUACUCAGCCCAACCUCAGUUCGGACUACCCCAUCCUCCAAAACCAGUAUCACCUCUCCCCUUCCUCGCCACCCCACCCCCGCCCCCACCCCAAAGCCGCUCGCUUUACUGCUUUUGGGUUUUCUUCUCUCCCUCUCUAGUCUACAGCCCCGGCCCGGGUCAGGGCAAAGCAUUCAGAGCCGCCCACGGGCCACGCAGGGGGCGGAGAGCGGCUCCCUUCGGCGCCGGAACCUCAGAUCCCCCUCCCAAGCCCUCCCAGUGGACCCCUCAAUUCGGAACUUUCCAACUCAACCGGAGCGAGGGUCAGAAAGAUUGUUCUUCACCCCUCUUCCUCCCUAGCUCUGAAUUCUUCCUCUUCUCCUAGAGUUGGGGCAGAAAGGACCGAAUCUUUUCUGCUUCUAGGGUCUAUCCCAGCAACAACAUACUCAUUCCCCUACACAGAUACGGGUGAAAACCUCAAUCAAAUCAUUUUCUUCUAGCAGAAAAAAAGGCGUUUCCCCAACCAGCUUCCAAAAUCAGCCAUAGGGAGAGAAAGAGAGAGAGAGACAGAAAAAAAAAAAGACGCUGUUAGCGGCCAGGCCUGAACCCCAGUGGGAUAUUCUACUUCCCCAUCCCAGGAAUGGAGGGGGACUCCAGCGAAAUUACAGGGAAUUCGUGGUCACGGGACCGGCCUCCGCCAAUCGCUCGUCUGGGCCUGGUGGAAAACAGAGAGCAUUAUUUGGUUUAAUUGAUUCAAAAACACCAGAGGACCACGACCAGGACACCAUGAGCCCCCAUUCCUACACCAGUGCCUCACAUGCUCUCUCCCCAAUGCCUCCGUUUCUCCAGAAAAGCUAGAGGAACCUUUUCCUCAUCCCCUUCGAAGGAAAAGAUGAGUGAGGAUCUCCGCGUUGGAGGAAGAGGGAGUCGAAAGAGGCUUCCACUCUUUGAAAAAGGUCAGUAUUAAGGUGAAAAUAAGAAAGAGAUUUACAAUCAUCACACCACUAUCCCUGUUACCCUCCAAAAACAACAGUUAAAUCUUGGGAAAUGGACAGGAACUCCCAGGCAGACACAUAGGAGUGAGAUGGAGCAUAAGGGGCAUUUUUGGGCCUCUGGCCUCCAUCGCUGUAUGGUCUGGGUUCUCUUCUCUGCCCAGUGUUUGCAGCACUGCCUCUGCCCCUUAUGUACCCCUGCUUUCCUCACUUUCAGGCUUCCAUGCUUCUCUGUGACAUCCCCCAAAAACAGGCAGAGUCUAAGAUGUGCAUGUACCCACUCAAGCCUCAAGCUUGUAUCUGUAUCCAUAUCCAGGGACAUGAACAAGAACUGAGGUAGCCAUUGGUUUAACUUAGAGCACUCUCAAAGUUCAGAUCAGCGUUAUGUGUGUGCAUGAGUGUGGUGGGGAGAUUUUCCCCUAGGACAAAGAGACUUUCCCUCCCAUUUUUGCCAUUGUGCUAGUUAAAAAAGAAAAAAGAAAAAAAAAAAAAAAAGAAUCCCUGACAAGGAAGAAUUCCCUGAAGAUGGUAGGGGUGGAAAUAAUGACCACUGAGAUGAUAUUCCAUUUCUGGCUGCUGGGGGAAAAUGUUUUUAAAAUUUAUUUUAUUUUGAGGAGACCAAGAUAGUCUGAAGUUUAGAGUGUUGUAAUUUACUAUGGGGAGAGGGCACAAGACUCUGAGCCCCAAGCAAUUGGUGGGAAACUAGGCCUCAAAGCAGAAAAUGAAAAGUCGAUCUGGGGGAAGAUUUUUAAAUAAGUGGGUCAGACGGAUGGAGAGGAGAUGAGGCGAUCAAUCUUAGCCCCCUGACAGCUCCCUCCGAUUGCAUCAAAGAAUUUGGCUCUUUGGGAAAGCAGAGCGAACAGCCAAAAUUUCACAUCCCUUAAAAAGGCCUGGGGGUGGGGGUGGGGGUGCAAAAGAGAAGGGUGAUUCUGGGAGAGCUGGGAAACAGAUGGGAAAUGGGGACAGAGGGAAAGCGCUAAGUUGGGUGGAAAGUUUGCCUGGAGAACUCCCAUGGCUUUGGCCUCCCCUCCCCCUCCUCUCUCUCUGCUGCCCAGCCAGGAGGAGAAGGCUGGUUAGCAGAGAAAUGGCAACUGAGCCCGGAGCUGGAACUAGAAACUUUCUGUCAGUGUAACAUCUGCGUGAGUACUUAAAAAGAAGGACAGAGAAGUCUGAGUAGAAGCAUGAGGGUGGGGGAGAGGAGGAUGGAGAAAGGGGAGUUGGAGGUGGGGGCUGCAGGGACCGAGGAGGCAUGCUCUGGAGGGCUCAGAACAGAGAGAGCUGCUCUGACCUGGGCAAAGUGGCCAGCGACAGUAGUGUGCAACUAGGCUCCAAAGAAAACAAUUUUUGCCAUUUAGAGGUGUGGAUGGGGGUGGGCAUAGAAUAAUCCAAAUAGUAGCUGUCUGGAAGUCAUGCAGGGAGGCCUGAGAGUGGGUUCUCCCUCUGGCCACCCCCUUGAACACCUCUGAAAGUUUAGCAACAGCUUCUGUAGCUGGCUGAAGGAUCCAGAGCUUAUCUCAGGCAACUCGGGCAGACUGUCCCUGCAGGAAAUACAGCUCUCUCUAACCCUCACUGACAGAUUUUAUGGCCAGAUUAGCAAACAGCGGAAAACUUGGGUGUUAAAAGGGGCCCAGAGAACCCUCCUUUUCAGAGACAUCCCUCCCCCGCCCCCCUGUCCUGCUGUGAAUUUAACAGCACGGAUAUUUUACCCACGUCUUUGGCUGCUUUAGCUGAGCGCCUGGAAUCUUCCAAAGAGAAGGAUAGGGAACACCAAGCCAAGUUGGUUCUUAUUUUUCUUGUUUGCAAUUCCAGCUUCGAGCCAAAGCUCUGUUUUUCAAACUUAAGCUAAAUUCUCUUUCUUGGCCUCUUUCCUGCUAGAUAAAUAACAACCCAACCCAGCCCCAGAGCCAAACAUGGUGCUUCAUCUAGUUAUAUCAUUCAGAAAAUGUUAUUCAAGGAAGAAGAGAGAAAGAGAAAGAAAGAAAAACCCUUGAGCGUUAUUUGAUCCCAAUCAAACUUUGCACGCUCUUAUGCCUUUAAAUUAUAGCCUGACCCAAUGCUAAAUUGCUUGCUGCUUGGAUGAGUCCAGUUAAAAUCCUACUUGGUGGUGGGGAAGGGGGAGGGCGUAGAGUUCAGGUUGCUUUUUUAUUGUUAUUUAUUGUUGCAUAAAGACUAUAAUUACUAACCUUGGACUGCCAGGAUGCAACAUAAAAAUGAAAAUCAGCCCUCUCUUUAAGGCAGGGCCUGGAACGAUUCUCACUCCCCCAACAUCACUACCACCAAAUAUAUGCUCCUAAUUAAGCAAUGCGGGCACAUCGCUUACAAUUAGAAUUAUGCAGCUCUUCAGCAAGCAGCCAUCGCUUCUCUUUCAACGAAUUAGCUCCAUAUUUCAGCCGCCCUGUCUUCUCGCUCUUAUCGGCUCCAGCGACUCGGCGGUGACAUUUCAUCUUUGACAGACCUUCUCUAUUUUCACUCCAAUGUGAUAAAACUUUUAUGGAACCACAACUAAGAAAUGAAGUUUUCCCAAGGAUGAUGGAAACAGAGCCGCACAUUAGCCUGGGGACCGUUUUAUUUACGCUUGGAUCCAACAGCUUCUCCCACCCUCCUCUCCCCUUUCUCUGGCAGGGGAAAUCGAACGUGCUUCCCCUCCCUCCGCCUCGAGUUUUAUUUAGUGAUUUAAUUUUACUUAGUUUUAAAGUUUGACCUGAGAAGUCUAGGCCUCAGUUUUGUUUUUUUUUUUUUUUUAGAUUAAUCAUUUUUCUUUGUUUUCAUUUUAGACCCAAUGGUGGUUGGGCUUCGGGUCACGUGACACCUUCUUUGUGGCUCCGGAAGAGGAUUGUGAAGUUUAGGUUUCGUGGAAGAAACCGAUAAUUGAGGAAAAAAAAAAAUCAAGAUUUGGGGGGAAUUACCUACAAAGAUGUAAGGUGUGUUAAUUUGGGCGCUUCUUGGAUUCUACCCUGAGGAGGAGGCGCGUGGUGAGAGGAGAGAUCUUGAUCUGCCGCUCGCUGAGGUUCAGCAGGUUGGCCAUCUCUACACGGCGAGGCCGGCACAGGUAGCGGUUAAAAUGGAACUCCUUCUCCAGCUCCACCAGCUGCGCGCUCGUGUACGCCGUCCGCGCCCGCUUGGACGCCGCCGACCCCGGGGGGCUCUUGUCCCCUCCCCCGCCGCCGCCGCCACCGCCCCCGCUGCCACCACUGCCUCCGCCGCCGCCGCCACCGCCGCCGCCACCACAGCCCUCUGCUGGAUCCGAGGGGGAGGGGUGGGAAGGGGAGAAAAUGAAAUAAAAGAUAAUUACUGAACACGCCGAAAUUGAAUGCAUCGUUUCUUAAUAAAUCCAGGCCUGGACUCAGAGCCCCCGCCGCCCUCCCCUUCGGGUCCCCGCCGCCUCCUCACUCCCCCACCCCACCGCCCGUCGCAUUAGCGGACACUCUAUAAUAGUGGCAUUUAUUAAGAGACC